AUCGCGACUCACACGUGUGGUUGCAGCAACGUGACAGGUGUCCAAGUUAUUCUAAUUGGACAUGGUUGUAAAAAAAACUCGUAAUUUUAACAACCGUUUACUUUUGAUCAGUCUUCAAAAAGCCGGAGUUUUUUAAAAUGGCUACUUUUUAUAUUACGCAAAAUCGUAACUUAUUUCAAACCGAUUUUAAUUAUUAUUUUUGCAAUAAGAUUGACUGCAGUGUUGAUCCUGUUAAGCCUUAGUAGGUUACCCUGAUCUGGCAUAUAUGAACUUUCAAAGAUGUUAUGGACGAAAAGAUUGUAAGCUGGCAUGGAAACACGGUGUCUUUAGAAAGUUUGGUGUCGGUUAAAUGAAAUAACAUAAAUAAAUAAUACAUGAUAAAGUAUCUAAAAAAUACAACAAACAGACAACAGCGACCCCCUUGUAGAGGCUUGGGGACCCCUAGGGAGUCGCGACCCACAUUUUGAAUAAUACUGGUCUAGUUAAAGAGGCAUCAGCUGGAUUCGACACAAAUCCAUGUCACGCGAAUAACGAUCUACGUUUUUCUCGUAUCUUAUCUCCCUAAUUAAGUACCUUUCAAUAUAUAAUGAUGUAAUGCUAUUUCAAAUUAAAAUUAAAUAUAUGA
Galleria mellonella (greater wax moth) is the source of this 625-nucleotide long non-coding RNA. RefSeq lists it as uncharacterized. Lineage: Eukaryota; Metazoa; Arthropoda; Insecta; Lepidoptera; Pyralidae. The record is from RefSeq and is a predicted model, not a curated record. The transcript has 3 exons.